CGAGGCGAACCGGGGAAACUGAAACAUCUCAGUACCCCGAGAAAAAGAAAUCAACCGAGAUUCCCCCAGUAGCGGCGAGCAAACGGGGAGCAACCCAGAGUCAACAUCAAUAUUUACCACAGGAGAAGGGUCUGGAAAAGCCGGCAAUAAAGGGUGAUAGCCCCGUAUCUAAAGCGGUAAGUGUUGUGAACUCGAAGAGUAGGGCGGGACACGUGUUAUCCUGUCUGAAUAUGGGGGGACCAUCCUCCAAGGCUAAAUACUCCUGACUGACCGAUAGUGAACCAGUACCGUGAGGGAAAGGCGAAAAGAACCCCGGCGAGGGGAGUGAAAUAGAACCUAAAACCGUGUACGUACGAGCAGUAGGAGCACCCGAAAGGGUGUGACUGCGUACCUUUUGUAUAAUGAGUCAGCGACUUAUAUUCUGUAGCAAGGUUAACCGCAUAGGGGAGCCGUAGGGAAACCGAGUCUUAACUGGGCGUUAAGUUGCAGGGUAUAGACCCGAAACCCGGUGAUCUAGCCAUGAGCAGGUUGAAG
This 534-nucleotide ribosomal RNA is filed under the name Arsenophonus endosymbiont of Bemisia tabaci. Its description in RNAcentral is "partial 23S ribosomal RNA". It matches the Rfam family "Bacterial large subunit ribosomal RNA", at positions 175 to 750 of the family's 2925-position model. The record is from RNAcentral. Lineage: Bacteria; Pseudomonadati; Pseudomonadota; Gammaproteobacteria; Enterobacterales; Morganellaceae.